CAAAACAUUCAGUUCACUUGACUCAAUAGAAGUCAUCUUUUGAAUAUAUUGUGACCUGGAAAUAUUUGUCUUUCCACUGGUACAACAUUAAAUCUACCUAUGGUCAGUGGAACACACUGACCUUUCAGUUCCAAAACAUUCUUUCACGUCUCAUGUGGUUUCAAUAAAUUCAUGUUAGGUAAAGUUUCACUUCUUACCCCAAUAACGUGUAGGCGAGUAAAGAAAAACUAUUUUGACCACAUAAUAUAUUGUGAUUGAAACUUUUUCUUCACAUAGAUUUGGUUACAGAAUAUGUCAAUGAUACUAGAAGACAAUGCAAAAUAAUUUUAAAGGAAAAAAAGAAAAGGCCUAUAAGACUGUUGUUUCAAGAUUAUAAAUGACAGCAUUGCUAUUACAAACUUAUCCCCAUGGAUGAAAUAUAAAUGGAAAAUAAUUCCUAGAUCUCUUUGUGCUGUGAUAGAGCAAAAUGUAACAUAUUUAGAAUGUUCAAAUAAAUAUCAGAGGAAAUGUCAAGUGAUAGGUGCUUGUUUUUAAUAUUUUAAUUGCUCAUAACCAUUUGUUUUUGUUAAUUAUAGAAAUAUUUUCAGAAAACUUUUUCCUUGUUUUAUUAUAGUAACAUUGGGAUAAGACCCAGAAGAUUUUGAAAUCAUAUGGAAAAAUGAGAAUCAUAUACUUUUGGAGAAAUGUUAACAGUUAUUAAAAAAUGUCUAUUUUGUGAUUUCCAUCUGACACUCAAAAUAAAGAGAAUGGAGAUCAUUAAUAUACAACAGAAUCACUUCCAAGCCUUGCCUAUUUAGGCUCCUGUGAGAGAAUAAUAUUGGAGAACAACCUGCAAACAGAUGCAAUGGAUGGAACUUUGAAGAGCUGUCCAUCAAGGAGCAUUCCAGAGGACAAUGUGACCUGGAGAAGUCAGUUAAAAGAAACACCCAAACUGCUGGAAAAAAAUCUCUCUUUCUCCUGGCACUUGAAGGAGGAAGAACUGAGAAGCUCCUUUCCUUAA
RNAcentral lists this long non-coding RNA (1000 nucleotides) under Monodelphis domestica (gray short-tailed opossum). Its description in RNAcentral is "lncRNA (ENSMODG00000034386.2)". Lineage: Eukaryota; Metazoa; Chordata; Mammalia; Didelphimorphia; Didelphidae. The record is from RNAcentral.